UUCCAGAUUAACCUUGCCUCA
RNAcentral lists this non-coding RNA (21 nucleotides) under Rattus norvegicus (Norway rat). Lineage: Eukaryota; Metazoa; Chordata; Mammalia; Rodentia; Muridae. The record is from RNAcentral.